AUUUGUUGUUUAUUGUUGUGACUUAUUUUGACAUUGUUAUGUGUUGCCAGACCAUGGUUAUAUUUCAUUAUGCCAGUAGAUGGUGAUCUUGCACUGCUGUGGAACUACCAGAGAGACUCUAGCGAUAGGCUCUGCGCAUGCGCAGCUCAGAAAUAAAUGAGCUCCGGCCUGAGCAAGACGCUAACUUCGGUGUCCUCUCUAUUAAUCCACAGUUUGCUCAUACUUGGCUACGCAGUGCUCUCUAGCCUGUGUGCCGCUUGCUGCCGGUCCAGAUUCCCCUAGAUCUGGUGCAGGGGUGACCAAAUGUAUCUCUGCUCGAAUGCUGGGAUGUUUGCGAACACAACUGCUGUGAACAAACUGACAAAAAUUGCUGAUCCUCACCCCUAUUUAUGGAAAAAGAAGGAUCAAAGCUUCUAAGAUGUCUUUGUGACAUCAUCAUUCUGUAAGCCAAUGAGAUUCUCACAUGAAAUUUAUGAAUGAGAAUGUUUUUUUUUUAAACUGUUUUCAAAUUUAAUAUGUCAGUUUUUCUUAGGCUACAUUCAAUGAUGAUGCAGCCUUGACAUGAGGUUUGGCAGGUUGCUGGAAACAGUGAACACCUCAGACACGCAGCCUGCCAUGGACAGCAGAGAGAUGAUCAGAAGAACGGGUUUACAAUCA
This is a long non-coding RNA of Oreochromis aureus, 657 nucleotides long. RefSeq lists it as uncharacterized. Lineage: Eukaryota; Metazoa; Chordata; Actinopteri; Cichliformes; Cichlidae. The record is from RefSeq and is a predicted model, not a curated record. The transcript is spliced from 3 exons.